This 253-nucleotide ribosomal RNA is filed under the name uncultured bacterium. RNAcentral's name for it is "partial 16S ribosomal RNA". It matches the Rfam family "Bacterial small subunit ribosomal RNA", at positions 524 to 776 of the family's 1533-position model. The record is from RNAcentral.
UACAGAGGGGGCGAGCGUUGUUCGGAAUUACUGGGCGUAAAGGGCGCGUAGGCGGCCGAUCAAGUCAGAUGUGAAAGUCCUGGGCUUAACCUGGGGACUGCAUUUGAUACUGAUUGGCUUGAAUGCAGGAGAGGAUAGCGGAAUUCCCAGUGUAGAGGUGAAAUUCGUAGAUAUUGGGAAGAACACCGGUGGCGAAGGCGGCUAUCUGGACUGUGAUUGACGCUGAGGCGCGAAAGCGUGGGGAGCAAACAGG